GACAGAGGGUGCAAACGUUUGUUCGGAAUUACUGGGCGUAAAGGGCUCGUAGGCGGCCAACUAAGUCAGACGUGAAAUCCCCAGGCUCAACCUGGGAACUGCGUCUGAUACUGGAUGGCUUGAAUCCGGGAGAGGGAUGCAGAAUUCCAGGUGUAGCGGUGAAAUGCGUAGAUAUCUGGAGGAAUACCGGUGGCGAAGGCGGCAUCCUGGACCGGCAUUGACGCUGAGGAGCGAAAGCCAGGGGAGCAAAGCGGG
RNAcentral lists this ribosomal RNA (255 nucleotides) under uncultured bacterium. RNAcentral's name for it is "partial 16S ribosomal RNA". It matches the Rfam family "Bacterial small subunit ribosomal RNA", at positions 524 to 777 of the family's 1533-position model. The record is from RNAcentral.